RNAcentral lists this ribosomal RNA (279 nucleotides) under uncultured bacterium. RNAcentral describes it as "partial 16S ribosomal RNA". It matches the Rfam family "Bacterial small subunit ribosomal RNA", at positions 506 to 784 of the family's 1533-position model. The record is from RNAcentral.
UGCCAGCAGCCGCGGUAAGACGGAGGGUGCAAGCGUUACUCGGAAUCACUGGGCGUAAAGCGUACGUAGGCGGCCAAUCAAGUUGGAUGUGAAAUCCCAGGGCUUAACCCUGGAAUAGCGUUUAAUACUGUUUAACUAGAGAUCAGUAGGGGACAGUGGAAUUUACAGUAUAGAGGUGAAAUUCGUAAAUAUUGUAAGGAACACCGGUAGCGAAGGCGACUGUCUGGGCUGAUACUGACGCUGAGGUGCGAAAGCGUGGGGAGCAAACAGGAUUAGAUA